This is a long non-coding RNA of Gasterosteus aculeatus aculeatus (three-spined stickleback), 332 nucleotides long. NCBI's taxonomy places the organism in Eukaryota, Metazoa, Chordata, Actinopteri, Perciformes, Gasterosteidae. The record is from Ensembl.
GUUUAUUGGGUUUAGGGUUUAUGGGGUUAAGGGUUAGGGUUAGGGGGUGAGGGGUUAUGGGUUAGGGUUUAUGGGUUAUGGGUUUAGGGAUUGGGUUAGGGUUUAUGGGGUUUAGGGUUUAUGAGGUUUAGGGUUUAUGGCGUUAGGGGUUAUGGGUUUAGGGAUUGGGUUAGGGUUUAUGGGGUUUAGGGUUUAUGGGGUUUAGGGUUUAUGGCGUUAGGGGGUUAUGGUUAAUGGGGUUAGGGUUUAGGGGUUAUGGGGUUUAUGGGGUUAAGGGUUAGGGUUAAUGGGUUAAUGGUUAGGGGUUAUGGGUUAGGGUUUAUGGGGUUUAG